Molecule: long non-coding RNA, 394 nt
Filed under: Medicago truncatula (barrel medic)
Lineage: Eukaryota; Viridiplantae; Streptophyta; Magnoliopsida; Fabales; Fabaceae
Description: long non-coding RNA (MTRU_LNC004563)
Source: RNAcentral
UCCUCAAGUAUUUUUAGAAAAAGCAUUCCAGUUAAUUAAAUUGGCAAACGAUUCUUUUUAUCAUUAACUAAUAUUACAGACAACCAACUUAUAUUUAGUUUUGCUUGAACAACAUAUAUCUAAUGUCGUUUAUUACAUUGAAAAUUAAUAAACAACUAAUGGAUAUAUGAAUACCUUUUUGAUGUCAUGUUUUGUUUUAAAGAUAUCAACAAUUGUCUCCUUGAUAAUUUCGGAUUUGAAAUUGUAUUCCAAUUCGAACAAAGAGCAAACCGACGAUCUUCUUAUUUGCCCUUGGGUCAUAUUUCUUCGGCUUCUUCUUGAAUGAUCCAUUCUUUCUCGUUAAAGUGUAAUAAUGAGAAAAGUGGGUUAAGUAAUGAAAUAGUUAGUUAAAUAA